AGAAGGCAGAGCUUGAAAUAAUCAAGAAAUAGCAAUGUGACUGCCACUGUGCUGGGCUCUUCGCAUUCUUUAUUUUAUAGAAUUAUCACAACAACCCAACAAGGCCAUUUACAGAUGAGAAAACUGGCUUAGGAAGGAUGAGUAAGAGGCAGCUUUUCCAGCCUGGGUCUGCCUAACUCUGAAGUCCUCAAUCCUCACAGCUCAUUGCCUCCCCAGCUGGUGUUAUGAGAGGUGAGAUCACCAAGAGAUCACCAGAGACUAUCGGAGUUGGGGAAGACAGAUGGAGACUGAAUGGGAAAAGAGACCAAGAGGGAUUAUGGGAGUAUCUUUCCCUCCCCAGCUUCUCAUAGUCAUGGAUGCCGUCUGCAAACUUCCUGCAGCCAUAAGGGAAUAAAUUCUGCCAACAACCUGAGGAAGUUUGGAAUCAGAUCCUGCACUUCCCCCCACCAUCAUCCACCACCCCCAAGCUUCUGAUGAGGCCACAGCUUCAUCCAAGACCCUGAGGGUUAAAACUCGGUAAGGCCCUGAAGUAAAGUAACCAGCUAAGCCAUACCCAGGCUUCUGACCCCUGAGAUGAUAAAUUUGUAGUAAUCUGUUACACAGCAUUUAAGCCACUACUUGUAGUAAUCUAUUACAUGGGGGGGGAAAAAAAACGGAUACAGUACAAUCUUUUCCUGUCCUCUACCUGUAUAACUAUGAAGUGAAUUUCUUGUAGACAGCAUAUAGUUGGUGUGUUUAAACCAUUUACAUUUAAUAUAAUUUUUGAUCAGUUUGGAUUUAGUUCUACCAUCUUAUUAUUGGUUUCCUGUUUGUUUCUAAGUUGGAUUCUUUUUAAAAAUCUAUUUGACCAUCUCUGCUUUUAAUUAGUAUUAACAGGAAUUAGUUUCGUUUUCCCUGCCUUCUUUUGAGUUAAAUGUUUUUUAGUAUUCUAUUUAAAUGUAUUUGUUUUCUCACUAUAUCUCUGUUUUUCAGUGCUUGCUAUAGUGAUUACAACUUAAGCAAUAUUCCACUUGAAGCCGUAAAACACAAGCACACUAUGAAACGUUAAGUAUGUGCUAAUAUUAUGAAAUGAAAACAGAUAUAGUGGAAUGAAAUGGAAUGACACGGAAUGGAAGAAACAACUGUUUGGAAAAUGUGCAUAUAUGAGAAUUGGCUUAGUGUUUUGGCACCAGAGAAAGCAAAGGCUCAGAUAGGGCAGGAUGGGAAGCUGGAGAUUCCUCUUAUUCCGUGGGCAAAAUAUUUGGUAAGACUGUCCUCUCUGUGAACUUGCAUAUUAACCCAAUAUCUACCAGACCUUUAGCUCUUGGGGCAGGAGUCAGCAAACUGUGACUCAUGGCCAGUUUAGCCUGUUGUCUGUUUUUGUAAAUAAAGUUUUACUGGAACACAGCCAUGCCCAUUCAUUCACAUAUUGUCUAUGGCUGCUUAUGUACAAGAGAAGCAUUGAGUCAUUGCAAGAGAAACUAUAUGGCCCUCAAAGCCUAAAAUAUUUACUAUGUAGCCCUUUAAGAAGUUUGUCAACCCCUGAUAUAGGCAGUAGUGGGAUCUAGGCGAUGAUGGAGCUAAGAAAUGAAAGGAGCCACCCAGUA
Molecule: long non-coding RNA, 1586 nt
Organism: Papio anubis (olive baboon)
Lineage: Eukaryota; Metazoa; Chordata; Mammalia; Primates; Cercopithecidae
Source: Ensembl